AUCACUUCUCAGCCUUUUGGCUAAGAUCAAGUGUGUAGCUGUACUUCUGUAUGUUUUUAAAAAGUCGCUUUAGGAAAGUAUAUUAUCCAAAUUUACUCUUAAUUUUCAAUUAGAACAUCGGAAACAUGGUAUCACUGCUUAGCCUUGAACUGUUCCUAAUGAUGUGUUUGUUCUU
This 175-nucleotide small nuclear RNA is filed under the name Oryctolagus cuniculus (rabbit). RNAcentral's name for it is "U2 spliceosomal RNA". It matches the Rfam family "U2 spliceosomal RNA". Rfam says of the family: U2 is a small nuclear RNA (snRNA) component of the spliceosome (involved in pre-mRNA splicing). Complementary binding between U2 snRNA (in an area lying towards the 5' end but 3' to hairpin I) and the branchpoint sequence (BPS) of the intron results the bulging out of an unpaired adenosine, on the BPS, which initiates a nucleophilic attack at the intronic 5' splice site, thus starting the first of two transesterification reactions that mediate splicing. The record is from Rfam by way of RNAcentral. Lineage: Eukaryota; Metazoa; Chordata; Mammalia; Lagomorpha; Leporidae.